AGCUAGUUGGUGAGGUAACGGCCCACCAAGGCGACGAUCGGUAGCCGGACUGAGAGGUUGAACGGCCACAUUGGGACUGAGACACGGCCCAGACUCCUACGGGAGGCAGCAGUGGGGAAUAUUGCACAAUGGGGGAAACCCUGAUGCAGCGACGCCGCGUGGAGGAAGAAGGUCUUCGGAUUGUAAACUCCUGUUGUUGAGGAAGAUAAUGACGGUACUCAACAAGGAAGUGACGGCUAACUACGUGCCAGCAGCCGCGGUAAAACGUAGGUCACAAGCGUUGUCCGGAAUUACUGGGUGUAAAGGGAGCGCAGGCGGGCGAUCAAGUUGGAAGUGAAAUCCAUGGGCUCAACCCAUGAACUGCUUUCAAAACUGGUCGUCUUGAGUAGUGCAGAGGUAGGCGGAAUUCCCGGUGUAGCGGUGGAAUGCGUAGAUAUCGGGAGGAGCACCAGUGGCGAAGGCGGCCUACUGGGCACCAACUGACGCUGAGGCUCGAAAGUGUGGGUAGCAAACAGGAUUAGAUACCCUGGUAGUCCACACCGUAAACGAUGAUUACUAGGUGUUGGGAGAUUGACCCUCUCAGUGCCGCAGUUAACACAAUAAGUAAUCCACCUGGGGAGUACGACCGCAAGGUUGAAACUCAAAGGAAUUGACGGGGGCCCGCACAAGCAGUGGAGUAUGUGGUUUAAUUCGACGCAACGCGAAGAACCUUACCAAGUCUUGACAUCCCUUGACGAUGCUGGAAACAGUAUUUCUCUUCGGAGCAAGGAGACAGGUGGUGCAUGGUUGUCGUCAGCUCGUGUCGUGAGAUGUUGGGUUAAGUCCCGCAACGAGCGCAACCCUUAUGGUCAGUUACUACGCAAGAGGACUCUGGCCAGACUGCCGUUGACAAAACGGAGGAAGGUGGGGAUGACGUCAAAUCAUCAUGCCCUUUAUGACUUGGGCUACACACGUACUACAAUGGCGUUAAACAAAGAGAAGCAAGACCGCGAGGUGGAGCAAAACUCAGAAACAACGUCCCAGUUCGGACUGCAGGCUGCAACUCGCCUGCACGAAGUCGGAAUUGCUAGUAAUCGUGGAUCAGCAUGCCACGGUGAAUACGUUCCCGGGCCUUGUACACACCGCCCGUCACACCAUGAGAGCCGGGGGGACCCGAAGUCGGUAGUCUAACCGCAAGGAGGACGCCGCCGAAGGUAAAACUGGUGAUUGGGGUGAAGUCGUAACAAGGUAGCCGUAGGAGAACCUGCGGCUG
This 1252-nucleotide ribosomal RNA is filed under the name metagenome. RNAcentral's name for it is "bacterial SSU rRNA". It matches the Rfam family "Bacterial small subunit ribosomal RNA", at positions 243 to 1520 of the family's 1533-position model. The record is from RNAcentral.